RNAcentral lists this transfer RNA (72 nucleotides) under Candidatus Uhrbacteria bacterium. RNAcentral's name for it is "tRNA-Lys". It matches the Rfam family "tRNA". From Rfam's summary of the family: Transfer RNA (tRNA) molecules are approximately 80 nucleotides in length. The record is from RNAcentral. Lineage: Bacteria; Candidatus Uhriibacteriota.
GGGCCGCUAGCUCAAUGGCAGAGCAAUGGCCUUUUAAGCCAGAGGUUCUGGGUUCGACUCCCAGGCGGCCCA